UACGUGGGGUGCAAGCGUUAAUCGGAAUUACUGGGCGUAAAGCGUGCGCAGGCGGUUCUAUAAGACAGAUGUGAAAUCCCCCGGGCUCAACCUGGGAACUGCAUUUGUGACUGUAGAGCUGGAGUACGGCAGAGGGGGGAUGGAAUUCCGCGUGUAGCAGUGAAAUGCGUAGAUAUCGGGAGGAACACCAAUGGCGAAGGCGGCUAUCUGGACGUCCACUGACGCUGAGGCGCGAAAGCGUGGGGAGCGAACAGG
This 255-nucleotide ribosomal RNA is filed under the name uncultured bacterium. RNAcentral describes it as "partial 16S ribosomal RNA". It matches the Rfam family "Bacterial small subunit ribosomal RNA", at positions 524 to 776 of the family's 1533-position model. The record is from RNAcentral.